UACGGAGGAUGCGAGCGUUAUCCGGGUUUAUUGGGUUUAAAGGGUGCGUAGGCGGAUCGUUAAGUCAGUGGUCAAAUUGAGGGGCUCAACCCCUUCCCGCCAUUGAAACUGGCGAUCUUGAGUGGAAGAGAAGUAUGCGGAAUGCGUGGUGUAGCGGUGAAAUGCAUAGUUAUCACGCAGAACCCCGAUUGCGAAGGCAGCAUGCCGGCUUCCUACUGACGCUGAAGCACGAAAGCGUGGGGAUCGAACAGG
RNAcentral lists this ribosomal RNA (252 nucleotides) under uncultured bacterium. RNAcentral describes it as "partial 16S ribosomal RNA". It matches the Rfam family "Bacterial small subunit ribosomal RNA", at positions 524 to 776 of the family's 1533-position model. The record is from RNAcentral.